GGGCGUUGAUGUUCUUGAGCGCGUUUCACUCGAGUUUCAUGAGUGGAACAGGUAGAGCGAGCUGACGCGCUUCCGGCCGCAGGUUGGAGAGAUGCCGUCAUGAACGCGCGGGUUUAACGAGGCUUCACGCUCUGCGCUUGGACGCGGAGGUCUUGAUCGUUAGGGAUUCAGAAUAACAACAACAACAGCGGUUCCUCCGCAGAUAUCAUAGCAGUUUCUCAGGAAUUCACGUCUUGCUUUUAUCUUCCUCAUCCACUUGGUUAAAGUUCCCUUCCAAAAUGUAAAAGGAUGACUGUGGAUGAAAAGGAUCACUGUGUAGUCACUACUAACCAGUGUGUGUGUGGAGCAUCAUGAGUUCGGUGAAUGCAUUGGGCCUGUGCAUGCCGGUGUUGUUCCUUCUGGCUCUGGCCCUGGUUCUGUUCUCGUGUGUCCUCCGUAAGAGGCGGCAGAUGGAGGGAUCGUACCAGCCCAGCUCGGAAGAGCGGAAACAAGCCAAGAACCAUGGAGCCGAGAGACCCGGUCUCACUCUUCCACUGCCCAAAGAGGAGAGACUGAUCUGAAUGCAGCCCUCAGAAAAGAUGAUGAAACCACACCAGUUUAGGGUGAUCAGGUAAACUUAAACAGAACUUUCAUGCUAACUUCAUAUUGAUAUUUAUGUGGAGUCCACGCACGGGUGCAGUCCUGACAAACAAGUGGAGGUUCAUGGAUGGAGAACGUUUGAAGUGGUGGUGGGUAUUUAUUUGACGCUUUUGACUGAGAUGUGAGAAUGCUUUCAUAUCAUAAUGCACUAUUAAAGUCGAUAAAUCAAUUCAAGUAUGCCUAACGAUGUUUUGCUGUCACUCUUGGGACAGCUGAAGCCACUGCCAAGUGCAUUUGUCAUAAGAAAAUAAACCAGAUGAUUUAGAUAGACGGCCAAACCAGUUUGACUUUGUUUACUUCAUCUGUAUAUUAAGUUUACUCACCCGAGAGUCUUUAAGGAGACAUGGCAGCUUUACCUCCAAAACAGUUUACCAUUAUAAUAUUGAAUAUUUUAAAUGUCCAAAAGCGAACAUUGUUGCAGUUUUUUCAAAGGAAGAGAGAUAAAUCUAUAUUGUGCUUUGCCAAAUGUUGUUUUGUAUUAGGUUUGCAUUUCUGUAAUGUCUGUAACACAUCAAUAUUAGGAAUGAUCAUAAUGUGAUGAAGUGACUGUGUAACUGUGGAUGAUUAAUUAAAAUGCAUC
This is a long non-coding RNA of Sinocyclocheilus anshuiensis, 1219 nucleotides long. RefSeq lists it as uncharacterized. The transcript is spliced from 3 exons. NCBI's taxonomy places the organism in Eukaryota, Metazoa, Chordata, Actinopteri, Cypriniformes, Cyprinidae. The record is from RefSeq and is a predicted model, not a curated record.